This 484-nucleotide ribosomal RNA is filed under the name uncultured bacterium. Its description in RNAcentral is "partial 16S ribosomal RNA". It matches the Rfam family "Bacterial small subunit ribosomal RNA", at positions 30 to 507 of the family's 1533-position model. The record is from RNAcentral.
AUUGAACGCUGGCGGCAGGCCUAACACAUGCAAGUCGAGCGGAUGAAGGGAGCUUGCUCCUGGAUUCAGCGGCGGACGGGUGAGUAAUGCCUAGGAAUCUGCCUGGUAGUGGGGGAUAACGUCCGGAAACGGGCGCUAAUACCGCAUACGUCCUGAGGGAGAAAGUGGGGGAUCUUCGGACCUCACGCUAUCAGAUGAGCCUAGGUCGGAUUAGCUAGUUGGUGGGGUAAAGGCCUACCAAGGCGACGAUCCGUAACUGGUCUGAGAGGAUGAUCAGUCACACUGGAACUGAGACACGGUCCAGACUCCUACGGGAGGCAGCGGCGGGGAAUAUUGGACAAUGGGCGAAAGCCUGAUCCAGCCAUGCCGCGUGUGUGAAGAAGGUCUUCGGAUUGUAAAGCACUUUAAGUUGGGAGGAAGGGCAGUAAGUUAAUACCUUGCUGUUUUGACGUUACCAACAGAAUAAGCACCGGCUAACUUCGUG